Molecule: long non-coding RNA, 581 nt
Organism: Mus musculus (house mouse)
Lineage: Eukaryota; Metazoa; Chordata; Mammalia; Rodentia; Muridae
Product: RIKEN cDNA 4930527G23 gene
Exons: 4
Source: RefSeq, marked validated
ACCACACUGAAACCCAUCAAAAAAGAAGAGGGUUUUUCGGCAUGAUGGCACAUGCUACAAUCCUGACUUCUGUUAUGAUAGCAGGAAGAUUCUGAAUUGAUGAAGGCAGUCUCAACAACAUAUUUUCCUCAAUAUACCAGCUUGCUUCUGCUGAUUUUAUGGAAUGAUGACCAAACACAGCUUGGAAAGAAGUGGUUUAUGUCAGUUUAUUGUGCAUCAUGCGAAGAAACCAAGGGCAAGAACUGUCCAAGAAUGUUCCCUCUGAACCAUCCAGAAACUAUGAGAAAUGCUAUGUAGGUCAUGCUAAUCAAGUCCUGAACUCUGAGAGUGGAGCCUGGUCUCUUGAAUCGACAAAAAAUGCUCUCAGUGUUCCAAUACAUGAGCUGCAGAGAUGAAGCAAAGUUAAGGGCACUGGCUACAAUUCCAGAGGACCCAGUUUCCUACCUGGCAGUUCAAAACGAUUCCAAACCAUUACAGGAAUGGACAUUUGCGAUUCAACAUCACCGCUGAGUAAGAACCAUUAAAGUAGGAUCUGUCACAUGAUUGGAUGGAUGAAAAUGGAGUAAAGAAUUUUCAACUUC